RNAcentral lists this ribosomal RNA (616 nucleotides) under Calonarius aureofulvus. Its description in RNAcentral is "eukaryotic LSU rRNA". The stretch from base 227 to 380 matches the Rfam family "5.8S ribosomal RNA". The record is from RNAcentral. Lineage: Eukaryota; Fungi; Basidiomycota; Agaricomycetes; Agaricales; Cortinariaceae.
GUUGCUGCUGGUUCUUUUGGGAGCAUGUGCACACUUGUCAUCUUUAUAUCUUCACCUGUGCACCUUUUGUAGACCUGAGUAUCUCUCUGGAUGCUUUUUAGCACUCAGGAUUUGAGGAUUGACUUUUUUUUGUCUCUUCUUCACAUUUUCAGGUCUAUGUUUCUUCAUAUACCCUAUGUAUGUUAAUAGAAUGUCAUUAAUGGGCCUUUGUGCCUAUACAAAUUACAACUUUCAGCAACGGAUCUCUUGGCUCUCGCAUCGAUGAAGAACGCAGCGAAAUGCGAUAAGUAAUGUGAAUUGCAGAAUUCAGUGAAUCAUCGAAUCUUUGAACGCACCUUGCGCUCCUUGGUAUUCCGAGGAGCAUGCCUGUUUGAGUGUCAUUAAUAUAUCAACCUUCUUUGGUUGGAUGUGGGUUUGCUGGCCUCUUGAGGUCAGCUUUCCUCAAAUGCAUUAGCGGACAACAUUUUGCCAACCGUUCAUUGGUGUGAUAAUUAUCUACGCUAUUGACGUGAAGCAAGGUUCAGCUUCUAAAUGUCCAUUGACUUGGACAAAUUUAUUUUAUUAAUGUGACCUCAAAUCAGGUAGGACUACCCGCUGAACUUAAGCAUAUCAAUAA